ACAGACAUCUACAAGAUUGUUGCCAGCAAAGGAGGUUUUGAAAUGGUCAGCGAAGAAAAGAAAUGGUCCAAAGUCGAUAUCUGCUUGGGAUAUCUGCCAGGAAAAGAAACUGGAUCUCUCUUCAAAGUCUCACUAGGAAAGAAUUCUCUACUCAUAUGAGCUGUUCCAGUCUGGUGGUGUCAGUCUUAUGGGCGUGCUGAUGCCUAAUUUAGAUCUUAAGGAAAAAGUGGAACCUGAUGUUCUUCUCACUGAUACCCAAACUUCCCCCGAAGCUGGCACCAGGAUGCAUCAUUGGCCAAAGAGAACAAGACGCCUAAAAUCUCAGUGGGCAGCUUAUAUCGUGGAAAGAAACCUCGAAGACCUAAAGAAAGAAAACACUUGUGAUGGGCAAAAGGAUGCCUCUCUGCACGUGGGACCUGAAGUGGCAGUAUGUCACAUACCAGUCUCCUUCAUGCCCCCUUAGAGCCCAGGCUGAAGAGAAACUCAUA
Long non-coding RNA from Ochotona curzoniae (black-lipped pika), 488 nucleotides. RefSeq lists it as uncharacterized. The record is from RefSeq and is a predicted model, not a curated record. The transcript has 5 exons. Lineage: Eukaryota; Metazoa; Chordata; Mammalia; Lagomorpha; Ochotonidae.